UACGAAGGGGGCCAGCGUUGCUCGGAAUUACUGGGCGUAAAGGGCGCGUAGGCGGAUAGUUAAGUCAGAGGUGAAAGCCCAGGGCUCAACCUUGGAAUUGCCUUUGAUACUGGCUAUCUUGAGUAUGGGAGAGGUGUGUGGAACUCCGAGUGUAGAGGUGAAAUUCGUAGAUAUUCGGAAGAACACCAGUGGCGAAGGCGACACACUGGCCCAUUACUGACGCUGAGGCUCGAAAGCGUGGGGAGCAAACAGG
Molecule: ribosomal RNA, 253 nt
Filed under: uncultured bacterium
Lineage: Bacteria
Description: partial 16S ribosomal RNA
Rfam family: Bacterial small subunit ribosomal RNA
Source: RNAcentral